GGAUAGAUGGCCGAGUGGUCGAAGGCGGCGGUCUUGAAAACCGCAGAACGCAAGUUCCGGGGGUUCGAAUCCCUCUCUAUCCG
RNAcentral lists this transfer RNA (83 nucleotides) under Clostridiales bacterium. RNAcentral describes it as "tRNA-Ser". It matches the Rfam family "tRNA". Rfam says of the family: Transfer RNA (tRNA) molecules are approximately 80 nucleotides in length. Their secondary structure includes four short double-helical elements and three loops (D, anti-codon, and T loops). Further hydrogen bonds mediate the characteristic L-shaped molecular structure. tRNAs have two regions of fundamental functional importance: the anti-codon, which is responsible for specific mRNA codon recognition, and the 3' end, to which the tRNAs corresponding amino acid is attached (by aminoacyl-tRNA synthetases). tRNAs cope with the degeneracy of the genetic code in two manners: having more than one tRNA (with a specific anti-codon) for a particular amino acid; and 'wobble' base-pairing, i.e. permitting non-standard base-pairing at the 3rd anti-codon position. The record is from RNAcentral. Lineage: Bacteria; Bacillati; Bacillota; Clostridia; Eubacteriales.